AUUGAACGCUGGCGGCAGGCCUAACACAUGCAAGUCGAGCGAGCGGCGGACGGGUGAGUAAUGUAUGGGGACUGCCCGAUAGAGGGGGAUAACUACUGGAAACGGUGGCUAAUAACGCAUACUAUCGGAUAACCCAUAUGGGAUUAGCUAGUAGGUGGGGUAAAGGCUCACCUAGGCGACGAUCUCUAGCUGGUCUGAGGUGAUGAUCAGCCACACUGGGGCGUAGACACGUCCCAGACUCCUACGGAGGCAGCAGAGUAGAAUAAUGCACAAUGGGCGCAAGCCUGAGACAGCUAUGCCGCGUGUAUGAAGAAAGCCUUAGGGUUGUAAAGUACUGUCAGCGGGGAGGCGUUACCCGCAGAAGAAGCACCGGCUAACUCCGUGCCAGCAGCCGCGGUAAUUC
RNAcentral lists this ribosomal RNA (403 nucleotides) under uncultured bacterium. RNAcentral describes it as "partial 16S ribosomal RNA". It matches the Rfam family "Bacterial small subunit ribosomal RNA", at positions 30 to 526 of the family's 1533-position model. The record is from RNAcentral.